AUCGUUCAUCCAGCCAGUUUUUUGGCCAGGACGGAAGUAAGGGAAAGUUUCUCUGAAGGAACGCGCC
Molecule: non-coding RNA, 67 nt
Filed under: Lyngbya confervoides
Lineage: Bacteria; Bacillati; Cyanobacteriota; Cyanophyceae; Oscillatoriales; Microcoleaceae
Also listed under: 1 other name
Description: Glutamine-I sequence
Rfam family: Glutamine riboswitch aptamer (glnA leader)
Source: RNAcentral